GGGAUCUUCUUCGGAUGAUAUGUUAUCUUCUCAGCUAAUUGUUGCCUCAAGGAGGAAACACUUUUCUCAUGGGGUGAGUUCCAGCUCCUGUUGGUGUGGCGUAGCUGGAGGAACGAAUGGUGGUUGUAAAACCUCCACAGUGGUGAGAGCUGUUACGUAUGCUCUUUCCUACCCGUUCUUCCCUAGUUCUCCCUCAGGUUCUCCUUUCCUUUCUCUCCGUGGUUCUCCACCUGUUCGCCCCCUGUCGGGGUGAUCGAUCCCCUUUUUAUAACAACUCCGAGCCCGGGACAAAACGUGACGUUUAGC
This 306-nucleotide long non-coding RNA is filed under the name Androctonus crassicauda. The record is from RNAcentral. Lineage: Eukaryota; Metazoa; Arthropoda; Arachnida; Scorpiones; Buthidae.